Molecule: microRNA precursor, 104 nt
Filed under: Marmota monax (woodchuck)
Lineage: Eukaryota; Metazoa; Chordata; Mammalia; Rodentia; Sciuridae
Source: RNAcentral
AAUGGGAUAACUGGGUCAAAUGGUGGUUCCAUUCCAAGUUUUCUAAAGGAAUCUCCAUACUGCUUUCCAGAGUGGUUGCACCAAUUUGCAGUCCCAUCAGCAAU